This is a non-coding RNA of Pelobates cultripes (western spadefoot toad), 112 nucleotides long. The record is from the annotation of a GenBank genome assembly. NCBI's taxonomy places the organism in Eukaryota, Metazoa, Chordata, Amphibia, Anura, Pelobatidae.
UGCCAGUGAUGAGUUGCCAUGCUAAUACCGACGCUGCAGCAAAGAGCUUUGUGCUCUAUAUGUUGGCAGCGGGUGAGUGUAGCAAACCUACUGAGGCUGCAAUCUUGGGCAA